Molecule: ribosomal RNA, 271 nt
Filed under: unidentified marine bacterioplankton
Lineage: Bacteria
Description: partial 16S ribosomal RNA
Rfam family: Bacterial small subunit ribosomal RNA
Source: RNAcentral
UGGGAUCCCUUCGGGGUGAACUUGGUGCUGACGAGUAGCGAACGGGUGAGUAACGCGUGGGAAUCUGCCCUAUAGUGGGGAUAAGCCAGGGAAACUUGGUCUAAUACCGCAUAAUCUCUACGGAGAAAGCGGGGAUCUUCGGACCUCGCACUAUUGGAUGAGCCCACGUUAGAUUAGCUUGUUGGUGGGUAAAGGCCUACCAAGGCGACGAUCUAUAGCUGGUCUGAGAGGAUGAUCAGCCACACUGGGACUGAGACACGGCCCAGACUCC